GAAGGGGGAUGCAAGCGUUAUCCGGAAUCACUGGGCGUAAAGCGUCUGUAGGUGGUGAUGCAAGUCACUGGUGCAAAACUCUGGCUCAACCGGAGGAAAGCCAGUGAAACUGCAUGACUAGAGUGUGGGAGAGGUAGAAGGAAUUCCCUGAGUAGCGGUGAAAUGCGUAGAUACAGGGAAGAACACCGGAGGCGAAAGAGUUCUACUGGAACACAAAUGACACUGAGAGACGAAAGCUAGGGGAGCGAAUGGG
This 253-nucleotide ribosomal RNA is filed under the name uncultured bacterium. RNAcentral's name for it is "partial 16S ribosomal RNA". It matches the Rfam family "Bacterial small subunit ribosomal RNA", at positions 524 to 776 of the family's 1533-position model. The record is from RNAcentral.